RNAcentral lists this ribosomal RNA (497 nucleotides) under uncultured bacterium. Its description in RNAcentral is "partial 16S ribosomal RNA". It matches the Rfam family "Bacterial small subunit ribosomal RNA", at positions 28 to 507 of the family's 1533-position model. The record is from RNAcentral.
GAUGAACGCUGGCGGCGUGCCUAAUACAUGCAAGUCGAGCGAACGGACGAGAAGCUUGCUUCUCUGAUGUUAGCGGCGGACGGGUGAGUAACACGUGGAUAACCUACCUAUAAGACUGGGAUAACUUCGGGAAACCGGAGCUAAUACCGGAUAAUAUUUUGAACCGCAUGGUUCAAAAGUAAAAGACGGUCUUGCUGUCACUUAUAGAUGGAUCCGCGCUGCAUUAGCUAGUUGGUAAGGUAACGGCUUACCAAGGCAACGAUGCAUAGCCGACCUGAGAGGGUGAUCGGCCACACUGGAACUGAGACACGGUCCAGACUCCUACGGGAGGCAGCAGUAGGGAAUCUUCCGCAAUGGGCGAAAGCCUGACGGAGCAACGCCGCGUGAGUGAUGAAGGUCUUCGGAUCGUAAAACUCUGUUAUUAGGGAAGAACAUAUGUGGAAGUAACUGUGCACAUCUUGACGGUACCUAAUCAGAAAGCCACGGCUAACUACGUG